This 485-nucleotide ribosomal RNA is filed under the name uncultured bacterium. RNAcentral describes it as "bacterial SSU rRNA". It matches the Rfam family "Bacterial small subunit ribosomal RNA", at positions 28 to 524 of the family's 1533-position model. The record is from RNAcentral.
GACGAACGCUGGCGGCGUGCCUAACACAUGCAAGUCGAACGAGAUCCAUGGGAGCUUGCUCCCGGAAGAUCUAGUGGCGAACGGGUGAGUAACACGUGAGAAACCUGCCCUGGAGUGGGGAAUAACUCGGGGAAACUCGAGCUAAUACCGCAUACCCUCGGAUGGUCGCAUGGCCGACCGAGGAAAAGAUUUAUCGCUCUAGGAGGGUCUCGCGGCCUGUCAGCUAGUUGGUGGGGUAACGGCCUACCAAGGCAACGACGGGUAGCUGGUUUGAGAGAACGAUCAGCCACACUGGGACUGAGACACGGCCCAGACUCCUACGGGAGGCAGCAGUGGGGAAUCUUGCGCAAUGGGCGAAAGCCUGACGCAGCAACGCCGCGUGCGGGAUGACGGCCUUCGUGGUUGUAAACCGCUUCUAGCAGGACGAAAUAGACGGUACCUGCAGAAGAAGCCCCGGCUAACUACGUGCCAGCAGCCGCGGUAAU